GUGGCGAACUGGUGAUUAACACGUGGGACAUCUGCCCAAAAGCAGGGGAUAACACUUGGAAACAGGUGCUAAUACCGUAUAACAACAAAAUCCGCAUGGAUUUUGUUUGAAAGGUGGCUUCGGCUAUCACUUCUGGAUGAUCCCGCGGCGUAUUAGUUAGUUGGUGAGGUAAAGGCCCACCAAGACGAUGAUACGUAGCCGACCUGAGAGGGUAAUCGGCCACAUUGGGACUGAGACACGGCCCAAACUCCUACGGGAGGCAGCAGUAGGGAAUCUUCCACAAUGGACGAAAGUCUGAUGGAGCAAUGCCGCGUGAGUGAAGAAGGGUUUCGGCUCGUAAAACUCUGUUGUUAAAGAAGAACACCUUUGAGAGUAACUGUUCAAGGGUUGACGGUAUUUAACCAGAAAGCCACGGCUAACUACGUGCCAGCAGCCGCGGUAAUACGUAGGUGGCAAGCGUUGUCCGGAUUUAUUGGGCGUAAAGCGAGCGCAGGCGGUUUUUUAAGUCUGAUGUGAAAGCCUUCGGCUUAACCGGAGAAGUGCAUCGGAAACUGGGAGACUUGAGUGCAGAAGAGGACAGUGGAACUCCAUGUGUAGCGGUGGAAUGCGUAGAUAUAUGGAAGAACACCAGUGGCGAAGGCGGCUGUCUAGUCUGUAACUGACGCUGAGGCUCGAAAGCAUGGGUAGCGAACAGGAUUAGAUACCCUGGUAGUCCAUGCCGUAAACGAUGAGUGCUAAGUGUUGGAGGGUUUCCGCCCUUCAGUGCUGCAGCUAACGCAUUAAGCACUCCGCCUGGGGAGUACGACCGCAAGGUUGAAACUCAAAGGAAUUGACGGGGGCCCGCACAAGCGGUGGAGCAUGUGGUUUAAUUCGAAGCUACGCGAAGAACCUUACCAGGUCUUGACAUCUUCUGCCAAUCUUAGAGAUAAGACGUUCCCUUCGGGGACAGAAUGACAGGUGGUGCAUGGUUGUCGUCAGCUCGUGUCGUGAGAUGUUGGGUUAAGUCCCGCAACGAGCGCAACCCUUAUUAUCAGUUGCCAGCAUUCAGUUGGGCACUCUGGUGAGACUGCCGGUGACAAACCGGAGGAAGGUGGGGAUGACGUCAAAUCAUCAUGCCCCUUAUGACCUGGGCUACACACGUGCUACAAUGGACGGUACAACGAGUCGCGAAGUCGUGAGGCUAAGCUAAUCUCUUAAAGCCGUUCUCAGUUCGGAUUGUAGGCUGCAACUCGCCUACAUGAAGUUGGAAUCGC
Molecule: ribosomal RNA, 1253 nt
Filed under: Levilactobacillus brevis
Lineage: Bacteria; Bacillati; Bacillota; Bacilli; Lactobacillales; Lactobacillaceae
Description: bacterial SSU rRNA
Rfam family: Bacterial small subunit ribosomal RNA
Source: RNAcentral